Molecule: ribosomal RNA, 243 nt
Filed under: uncultured Lactobacillus sp.
Lineage: Bacteria; Bacillati; Bacillota; Bacilli; Lactobacillales; Lactobacillaceae
Description: partial 16S ribosomal RNA
Rfam family: Bacterial small subunit ribosomal RNA
Source: RNAcentral
GGGUAACCUGCCCAAGAGAUCGGGAUAACACCUGGAAACAGACGCUAAUACCGGAUAACAACAGAUGAUGCCUAUCAACUGUUUAAAAGAUGGUUCUGCUAUCACUCUUGGAUGGACCUGCGGUGCAUUAGCUAGUUGGUAGGGUAACGGCCUACCAAGGCGAUGAUGCAUAGCCGAGUUGAGAGACUGAUCGGCCACAUUGGGACUGAGACACGGCCCAAACUCCUACGGGAGGCAGCAGAC